AACAUUUUCACCUGGCCUCUGGCAGGCCUGUAUUUACAUGAGGAAGAGGCCACAAUAAAAGCAGCAUGGCUGGGGGCCCUAGAGGAAGACAGCCUUGCCUCCCAGUCAUUGGAGGUAGUGCCUGGCCCUUUUUUUUUAUAUAGGUUAUGGGGGAGGUGAUGGGACUGCCUGUGGGGAGAAGGGAGACUUGAUUCUCUUCUCUGAAGAACAGACCAGGCUAUUGAAGAGGUCUUUGUUCCUUAACUUAUUGCUGAAGCUGCAUACGCUCACGUGCCUUGCUCUGACUGAAAGCAGAGGUUGGAUGGCUCAUCUGAACAAGGGGUAACAAGCAGCUGGAAAUGCAAUAAAACCAUGCCAUUUCCUAAACUGAACUUUUGGAAAAAAUCAUAUUGGUUCUACCUGGACCUUAUUAGCCUUAUGAUCAGAAGGACUUUUUUUCACUAUCUUGUGUUCUGGGAGAGAAAGUGACUUUACUGGAUUAAGCUGGGCUAGACUGACAGAGUGUUCUCCAAGCACAAAGCUAGCAGCAGUCUGUGCCAACAGAGGAACAGAAAAUGUGUUCAUCCUUAGUGAGGUUCUCCAUAAGCACUUUCACAUGCACAGAAAGAUUUUUAUUUAAGGCUGCCCUGACCAGGUCUGCCAUGCUUAAUAAAACAUCAGCUGAGCUUCUUGCUUCCAAGCAUGUGAAGUCAGGAGGAAAGAGGCAUAUACAACUGAAAAUCCUGGCUGUCAGUGAGGAUUUAGCAACGUGCAGCUGAGAGGUGGCUCCUGUUCUCAUUGAAGAGUACCUCAGUUACUGGAAGGUACCUUCUGGAUGGAGCCUUGCAAUGGCCUUGCUGUGCAUACCAGGGCAUCCUGUCAAACACCUGGAAACUUUAUAGUAAUGCCCAGUGAGGAUGUUGCCUCGCCUCUUUUGUCUUUACCACUGCCCUGGUGGUGAUAUAACAAAGAUGCUGAUUCUUUUUCUUUGUGGGUGCUUGUGAUGCACUCUCAGGAUGAAAAGAGCACAACACACUGCUUCAAAUGCUACAAGGGAGCUGCACCAACUCUAAAAUACAGAAAACUGAUUACAGCUCAUUCAAACUGUCUGUGGGAAGAAAAGCAAACAACACUGUUAAAAGCAUGACUAUUUUUCCAAUGAAAGAGAACUGGGGGAGUGCUGUGAUGAAUUUCUUGAGGAAGAGGCAGGUAUAACCAAACCUGGUAAAACUGCUCUGGUGGUGUUUGCAGAUGUGCCUCAUGAACUUUGUGUGAUGAACACGGAGAGCCUGUCCUGUCUUCAGUCUACCAUAACUACAGAUCAUCAGAGCAGAAUAUCUGUUGAUGCUGAAGACAAUUCUGAUAAGGUACUGAUAAGGUAAAGAUGCCUCAACCACAAUGACACGUAAAUAUCACAUAUAACCUGGCUAAAGCUUUUAGGUGAAGCUGGCAUCUCUGAAACAAAGACCUACCAAUUCUGUCAGGGUGUGAACUUGUGCUGCAGCUUGUGUGAACUAGGAAAUGCAGACCGUCCUUUCUUGUACAGCACCACAGGAAAGUGGUACAAGAUCAAAUUCUCAGGUUACAUAAAUGAGGUCUAUGCUGUCAAUGGGAAGAACUUUUCCUCUUAAAAACAAACAAACAAAAAAAAACAACCAAUGGACUUGAGUGGGGAUCUCCAACUUAUGUCUCCCAGCUUGCACCAACGCAACUUUAAAAUCAGCUAGAUGUAAGUUUUGCUUUUGGAUCUCUACAGAGUAUGCUUCUACUACUGGCUUCUGGGCUGCCCUGUUCCCUCCUUGGUGCACAGUGUCUCCUCCUAACCCACCAGUUUAGUGAUUCAUCUUCCUCGUCAGCUGCAGGAAACCCAACAAGCCAAAAUCAGAGGGAGCACACAGAGGGAAGAGACUUCUAAAGCCAGCUGAAGCUGCCACCUUGUCGUUCCUGUCAAUACCGCAAUAAAUAAGCAUUUUAAGAGAACAGUCAGUUAAAGAUUGACUGACCU
This is a non-coding RNA of Meleagris gallopavo (turkey), 1984 nucleotides long. Lineage: Eukaryota; Metazoa; Chordata; Aves; Galliformes; Phasianidae. The record is from RefSeq and is a predicted model, not a curated record.